GACGAACGCUGGCGGCGUGCUUAACACAUGCAAGUCGAACGGAAAGGCCCUGCUUUUGUGGGGUGCUCGAGUGGCGAACGGGUGAGUAACACGUGAGUAACCUGCCCUUGUCUUUGGGAUAACUUCAGGAAACUGGGGUUAAUAUCGGAUAGGAGCUCCUGCUGCAUGGUGGGGGUUGGAAAGUUUCGGCGGUUGGGGAUGGACUCGCGGCUUAUCAGCUUGUUGGUGGGGUAGUGGCUUACCAAGGCUUUGACGGGUAGCCGGCCUGAGAGGGUGACCGGCCACAUUGGGACUGAGAUACGGCCCAGACUCCUACGGGAGGCAGCAGUGGGGAAUAUUGCACAAUGGGCGGAAGCCGGAUGCAGCAACGCCGCGUGCGGGAUGACGGCCUUCGGGUUGUAAACCGCUUUCGCCUGUGACGAAGCGUGAGUGACGGUAAUGGGUAAAGAAGCACCGGCUAACUACGUG
Molecule: ribosomal RNA, 468 nt
Filed under: uncultured bacterium
Lineage: Bacteria
Description: partial 16S ribosomal RNA
Rfam family: Bacterial small subunit ribosomal RNA
Source: RNAcentral